This 1703-nucleotide long non-coding RNA is filed under the name Sus scrofa (pig). Its description in RNAcentral is "lncRNA (ENSSSCG00015055832.1)". The record is from RNAcentral. Lineage: Eukaryota; Metazoa; Chordata; Mammalia; Artiodactyla; Suidae.
UUUGGAACAAAGGUAUUAAAGGUGAUUUUUUUUUUUUUUUUUUUUUUUUGGUCUUUUUGCCAUUUCCUGGGCCGCUCCUGUGGCAUAUGGAGGUUCCUAGGCUAGGGGUUGAAUCGGAGCUGUAGCCACCGGCCCACGCCAGAUCCUUAACCCACUGAGCAAGGCCAGGGAUCGAACCCGCAACCUCAUGGUUCCUAGUCGCAUUUGUUAACCACUGAGCCACGAUGGGAACUCCGCCAAGUGCGUCUUGAUCCAUUCUUCUGAGCAUGCCUCUUAUGAUGCUAGGAAGGUCUAACUCUGAAUUAUGUUUGAUAUUCAGGGGAGAACAAUCUGGCAGUGAGCUGACUUCUACCAAAGCAACCUGGAUCAGGAAGCUGGUGGAGGAGAGCCUGGAACCCCUUUGCGUUUUGCCCUCCACCCCAUCAGUCGGAAUCCUGAUCCACUCCCAUUUGACGUCACCUCCCUUCAGGAGGGCAGAAGCUUGACAUGCUCCCCCAAGAAUCUACUCCAGUGCUGCUAAGACUUCAGUGAACCUCAGUCACCCUGAUGGCUUCCUAAAAUGCUGAUUCCCAGGCCCCAUUCCCCCCCCGAGUCUGCAUCCAUCAGUAUGGAUGUGGGCCGAGGAACUUGCAUUUCUAACACUACCAAGUAACGCUGAUGCUGUGGGUCCAUGGGGCACUCUCAAUAGCACUGAAAUGGUUCACACCUCAAACCUAGGUUUCCAUAGUAACCUCACAAGUCCCAGUGGCUUUCACUCAGGGGCUCUUUUGUCCCCCUAGGGGGCAAUUGGCCAUGUCUGGCACCGGGAACUCGUAGGUAUCCGAAGACAUUUUUGGUUGCCACCACUUGGUGAGUGGAGGUGGGCGCUACUGGCAUCUAGGGUGUAGAAGCCAGGCAGGCUACUAAACAUCUUGUGGUGCACAGGCCAACCCUCCAAACAAAAAUUACCUGGCACAAAAUUUCAAUAGUGUUGAAGCGGCGUAACCGUCCUUUAGUCCAGGGGAUCAACCCAUGGGCCAAAGAUGAACUUGGUGAGUACUUUAGUUUGUCUUCCAGUUUUUUCUAAAAGGCAGCAUAAGUGAAAAGCUGCUCUAUGUCAUCAUGAGGGAAAUGCAAAUUCAAACAGUGAGAGACCUUUACAUACCUAUCAGAAUGGCCAACAUCUGGAACACUUGGCAACACCAUAUGCUGAUGAGGACAUGGAACAACAGGAACUCUCCUUCAUUGCUGGUCAGAAUGCAAAGUGAUACCGCCACUUUGGAAAACACAGUUUGACAGUUUCUGACACAACUAACCACACUCUUAGCAUACAAUGCAGCAAUCCCAUUCUUUGGAAUUUACCCAAAGGAGUUGAAAACUUACGUCUGCGCAAAAACCCGCGCACAAAUGUUUAUUGCAGCUGUAUUUGUAAUUGUCAAAACUGGGACUCACCCAAGAUGUCCUUCAAUAGGUGAAUGGAUAAACAAAGUGUAGUGCCUUCAGACGAAGGGAUGUUAUUCAGCUCUAAAAAGAAAUAAGUUUGGAGUUCCCACCAUGGUGCAAUGGAUGAAAGAUCUGGAGUUGCCACAGCUGUGACCUACGCUGGAUCUGGCAACAGCCGCAGCUCAGAUUUGAUCCCUGGCCUAGGAACUUCCAUAUGCCAUGGAUGCGGCCAAAAAAAUUUUUUUUAAAUAAAUAAAAAGAUAAAAAGAAAUAAGUUCUCA